Bos taurus (domestic cattle) is the source of this 690-nucleotide long non-coding RNA. The record is from Ensembl. Lineage: Eukaryota; Metazoa; Chordata; Mammalia; Artiodactyla; Bovidae.
GGGUGUGACGGGCUCCGGGUGUAGGAGGUGAUCUUAGCUCUGACGGAGCCGGCUCGUCGCGCUGGCCGUUUAAACUGCCGCGUUAUUUGUCAGGCCGGUUCUUUUCCACUGGCGCCCCCUGGAAGCCGGUUCUCAAGCAUGGCUGUUCUUAAGGAAUAAUGGUGGCGGUGAUAGUGACCACAGGAGCUCUUCGUUCUCUGUCCGUCAUUGAGCACCUACUGUGUACAGGCUGCUCCUAACCAGCGAACAGGAACAGUGAAGUAGAAAGAAAGACCCGUCCAUCAUCCUGCAGACAAAGCAACCGUGACGACUAUUUUUGUAUUCACGAAGUCACGUAACAGAUUUUUUCUUUUUUACAAAGUAGCAAACUACUGGCGUUCUGUAUCCCCCUUUUCUGUUUUUCAUUUGACAUUUCCCGUAACAACUAUGUGACGGUAGAUUGAGUUGAUAAACCAUAGCUCAUAUAACCCUUCCCUUCCGGAAAAGCGUCUAGGCGGUUUUAGCACUUUGCUAUCACAGACACCUCUGUGUGUUUUUGUCCUUACAUUUUUAUCCGUUUCCUUAGUGGCAAUUCCCAGAAGUAGCCUUGCUGGGAUGGAGAGAAAUGAAAUGCUUAACACUCAGUGGUGUUUGCUAAGUUGCUUUCCAAAAGGGUAAACCGCGCACCCCCUCACCAGCAGAGCAUGAGAA